CUUCCAUGCUCUAAUAUCUAUCUGUGUUGCAAAUUUGGUGGGAAUUCGUGAAGUAGUUAUGAUGAAAUCUUGCAAAACCUAUAUAAAGUGAAAUCUUGAUCCAGAAUUCAGAUCUGGUGACGCAGACUAAACAGU
This is a long non-coding RNA of Thalassophryne amazonica, 135 nucleotides long. RefSeq lists it as uncharacterized. NCBI's taxonomy places the organism in Eukaryota, Metazoa, Chordata, Actinopteri, Batrachoidiformes, Batrachoididae. The transcript is spliced from 4 exons. The record is from RefSeq and is a predicted model, not a curated record.